GGCAUAGCCAAAAUUCGUUCGCCCUUGAUCAUCCUGACUGUUCCAUUGUUGUAGCUGUUGUGAACGUGAGUUAAUGGAAGGUAGGGCCGGAUAUUGGAUACUUGCCGCUUGGACGUUGGCCACUGCCAACAACAGCAAAAGAUUCCAUUUGAUGCUCGUACUCGGCGCGUUUAGAUUCGACGAAGACGAUGUCCAAUUGUUUUGUCUUGGGCUCUUUUAUACUCAAAGACAGACUGAAGACGUGGCAAUCGGUAGGUUCCUGCUCUUCUUAUCUUUGUCGUUAAUGACCACACCCGAAUUAAUUAUGAUAAUGACAUUUUUGGUAGGAGCUGUGAAUUUGCAUGGCUAGCAACAAACAUGAACGGGGAAUCCCGCAUAACUGGAUGCGAACCCCAACCUGAUCCACAUAAAUGAAUGCCACAAGAUAAUCAGGAACAAUCAACAAGAAGCACGUAAGGUGUCAACGCUUACCUUAAAAAAACAGCAAAAGCAGUAGGGAAUGAACUUUGUUCAUGGGAACGCAAUAAAACUGAAAAUAACAAGGAUUUGGAUGGCCAGUCAAGAAUCGGAGGAAUAGAUAUCCUGUACUUAGCAUAUUCAAAAAUCGAUUUUAUACCCAACUGAUCUCGGUGUUAUCUUUAAUCUAUUCCUAUUUAAGUUUAAUGACGCGCAUUUAAAAAAAAAUAAAAAUCCUCGUACAUUUGAAUGGAUGAUUUCAGCAUGUCGAUGAAUUUAUCAAAUUCUUUAAUUGUGGAAAAUAAAUUUUUAUGGAAAGCAA
Molecule: long non-coding RNA, 778 nt
Organism: Daphnia magna
Lineage: Eukaryota; Metazoa; Arthropoda; Branchiopoda; Diplostraca; Daphniidae
Exons: 2
Source: RefSeq, a predicted model, not a curated record